This 166-nucleotide unclassified non-coding RNA is filed under the name soil metagenome. Its description in RNAcentral is "partial contains 5.8S ribosomal RNA, internal transcribed spacer 2, and large subunit ribosomal RNA". The record is from RNAcentral.
AACGCACGAGACCUGCGGACCUGCGGAGGGAUCAUUAGUGAACGCCCUCACGGGCUUAUAGCUAUUCCAAACCUCUGUGAACCGUGCCCUUCGGGGCUAUUUUACAAACAUGGUGUAAUGAACGUCAUAUAUCAUAACAAAACAAAACUUUUAGCAAUGGAUCUCU